RNAcentral lists this ribosomal RNA (471 nucleotides) under uncultured bacterium. RNAcentral describes it as "bacterial SSU rRNA". It matches the Rfam family "Bacterial small subunit ribosomal RNA", at positions 328 to 793 of the family's 1533-position model. The record is from RNAcentral.
CUCUGUGACUCCUACGGGAGGCAGCAGUGGGGAAUAUUGCACAAUGGGCGCAAGCCUGAUGCAGCCAUGCCGCGUGUGUGAAGAAGGCCUUCGGGUUGUAAAGCACUUUCAGUAGGGAGGAAGGUAGUGUAGUUAACACCUGCAUUAUUUGACGUUACCUACAGAAGAAGCACCGGCUAACUCCGUGCCAGCAGCCGCGGUAAUACGGAGGGUGCGAGCGUUAAUCGGAAUUACUGGGCGUAAAGCGCAUGCAGGCGGCCUGUUAAGUCAGAUGUGAAAGCCCGGGGCUUAACCUCGGAAUUGCAUUUGAAACUGGCAGGCUAGAGUCUUGUAGAGGGGGUAGAAUUUCAGGUGUAGCGGUGAAAUGCGUAGAGAUCUGAAGGAAUACCAGUGGCGAAGGCGGCCCCCUGGACAAAGACUGACGCUCAGAUGCGAAAGCGUGGGGAGCAAACAGGAUUAGAUACCCUGUAG